GACACGCCUGGAAACGAAUGAGAUGAGUCGGUGAUUCGCUUUUCCCGAAACAUCCAUUAAGAUUAUGCUUUCAUAAAACUGCAUUUUAUUUCAAUGCUAAACUUCUUUUCCUACACCAACAGUAAAUAUACAUUAACGGGACCUGUCUCGGACGUGCUGAGGCGGCUGCUGCGGGAAAAGCGACACGGGGCAAGAGGCCAAAGAGUUGGACAACGCCGCAGUCGGGAACUCGUGAGGCUGUGGGUAGUGGCUCCUCAGCUUCCUCUCCGCUGCCUGGUGCAGCUCGCUGACAUUGUAGCACCGGUUCAUCCUGCACGUCCACACGGGCACGAGACAAAGUCCAAAGAUGAGAAUCUGUGAAGGGGCAGACAGACAGAAAGACAGUCAGACAGACAGACAGCUGCAGUGCAUGCAGCCAAUAUGAGCUCUGUCCUGUGUGUCCCUCUCACCUGCUUUAUGUCCAUCCUCUGUCCCUCUCUUCUGGCUGACUGUUAAAGGAUCUUUUACCAGCAUCCAUCCUCACCUGUCUGCUAUUUAUGGAGUGCACAGGUGGGAAAAACCAGCAUGAGGAAAUGGAAAGGCCGUUUAGUUUGUAUACUUCCUGUUUCCUAAGUGAAAGGAGCCUGCAGCAGGUAGGUAUGAGGGCGGUCUCGUACUGAGGGUGGCCAAGGAAUUUUCUACACAGACACACACACACCCGAGCACUUGAGCGCCGAGAGGCUGACGGCACCUGGUAAAUAUGCUGCCGAACAAAAACCAAGUGCUGAAACCAGAAACUGCUGCUGAUGAAAGCUCAAUCUAUUUUAAGAGCGGCCUCUUGAAGUGAUGCCAUAAUCACAACAUCCAGCCCACGGCUUUCAUUGCUUUUACAUGUAUUUAUGACAUUGUGCUGUAUUAAGGAAUAAUUUUUACAUAAUGAUUUUACAACUAUUGUUGAGUGAGGCAACUCCUUACCAACCCCAACUAAACUCCUUCCUUAUAUCCCUUAUUUAUUGUCCCAUAAUCUAUAAGUGCCUUUGUUUGAACGUAUGUUGUUAUAAGUGUGUCUGAAUGUGUCUCUGUCUAUGUUUAUUGCAUUGUUCAAUACAUUUGUUUGAGUGAGGCUAAUUCUAUUAUGAAUGUUGAUAUUUUGAAAUGUCUUUAUUCAUUUAUUUAGCCAUUUAACCCAGGAUUUAUUAUUUAUGCAUUUUUUGUUUGAGAACAAAUUCACAUGGUAAAUGGACCGUACUUGUACAGAGCUUUUCUAGUCUUCCGACCACUCAAAGCACUUUAAAAUUUCAUGUCAUCAUUCACCCAUUCACACACUAAUGACAGGUGCUACCAUACACAGUCCCACCACAUCAGUAACUAGCAUUCACACACUGUAGUCACAGCUACAGGAGCAAUGUUGGGGUUAAGUGUCUUACCCAAGGACACAUGGGUUAGCAGGGGCCUGGGAUUGAACCGCCAAUCCUCUGAUUGGAGGACGACUCCACUCACCCACAGUUGCCCACAUUUGACUGAAUAUAUUUACUUGCAUAUGUCACUUUGUACUAAUGUAUUUAUUACAGAACUUAUUUCUUUGUUUCUGGGCACAUAAAGAUGUAUUUCACUUUUAUAUAUUCAUUUUUGAACCAUAAGAAAUAAAAGACACACUAUUUGUCUGUUUAUACGUUAGAAAUACAAUUAAUCAUAACAAGGAAAUGAGCCAUGGAAAAUCCCACACAGGCCAUGCCAUGUGUGUCGGACUACUAGUUCUAAUGAGCUAAAACAACUUUUUGAAUACAGGGUUGUACCUCAUCAACCUAUGACAUCAAAUAAAAAAAAUAAUUUUUUGGUAUUUGUAUCUCUCUUGGUUAUUGUGCCAAGAGAAUUUCCAGCAGAAGUUUGUAUGACUGUCCCAGUAACACUGCCAGGUGGCCAUAAGGUGGCAAACCAUUAUACUGUAUGUCAACCUCACUAAGGGCACAAACAAGUACAAAAUUAUAAUUAUAAGUCAAAUCCUACACAGUUUUAUACACAAAUCCUGCAACAACUGUACACAACUUUGAAAAUGCUUUUUUUCUGAAUGAAAUUUAGAUUGAUUAGGGUUGUGCUAUUCCUGCUCCAUACAGACUCAAAAUGGCGUACUAUAUGUCAUAUAUGCACACAUAUGGUCACAUCUUCAUAGUUUACUCAACUCAACCUGAGUCUGAAGCAGGAGGAAGUCCAGGUGCUGUGGAAGACGUUGUGCCUGGUCUCAGUACCAAAGAAGACAACCCUGCCUGGCCUCAAUGACUACUGACCAGUCGCCCUCACAUCCCAUGUGAUGAAGGUGCUGGAGAGGGUGGUCUUGACCUACCUUUGACCGCAGGUGAAAUCAUCACUGGAAAGCAAUUUGCUUACCAGGCUAAUGUGGGGGUGGGUGACGCCAUCAUCUACCUGCUGCAGCCCAGUCGCAUCUAGAUGGAACCACAGGCGCCGUCAGAAUUUCUUCUCCACUUCUCGCACUUCUCUAGUGCAUUCAACACCAUCCAACCACUGCUGUUGAGUGAGAAGCCGCGGGUGGUGUUGGUUAAUGCGUCCACCGUCUCCUGGAUCACUGACUACCUGACGGGCAGACCACAGUUUGUCCAACAGGGCCGUGUGCUGUCUGAUGUGGUGGUCAGUGAUACUGGAACCCCACAGGGAACUGUCCUGUCUCCCUUCCUGUUCACUAACUUCUGGUACAUCUGGUCGGGCGUAUAAGGAACGGAGGGGAGGAGUAUAGAGCAGUAGUGCAGGACUUUGUGAAGUGGGCCGGUAGAAAUCACCUGACUCUCAACAUGACCAAGACCAGAGAGAUGGUGGUGGACUUCACCUGGGUGUCUCCAUCGACAACAGACUGAACUGGAAGGCCAACAUCAAGGCUGUGUACAAGAAGGGGAUUAGUCAACUAAUUUUCUUGGAGCUAGUGACACCAACACACUCAAGAAGCUGGUGAUCAUUGGCUGCAUUCAGAACCGGUGGUGGAGAGGACACUGAAAAAACUAUUGCCUAUAUUGGAUAACAAGGACCACGCUCUUCACCACCUACUGCAGGGACAGCGGAGCACCUUCUCCAACAGGAUGAUCCAGCUGUCCUGUCACAAGGACAGACACAGGAAAACAUUCCUGUCAACUGCAAUAAGACUAUACAACAUCACCCCUGGCUAAGUCCUUGUUUAAUUGAACUGUCUUAAUUUAAUACCGUGGCACUACUGUUUUAAUUUUAUUUUAUAUUCACAUACACUGUAUAUACUUGUGUGCUGUUCUUUCUUUUUUCUAUUUAAUUUUCAAAUUUGUGAAUGUCUGGCUCUGCUAUUUUUUGUAUUGUGUAUAAAUUAUGCAUUUUACUUUUAAUUACUACUGCUACUGGUACACACAAAUAUCCCCCUGGGGAUUAAUAAUGUAUAAAUCUAUCUACCUAUAAGCAUAGUUUCAUCGGGCCUCUGUAUGAAUAGGCGGGACAAUAGAGCUCUGGAGGCCAGAGAAGGAUAGCAGGAGAAUCUCUGUGCUGGUAAGCGUAACACAAAAUUCUGCAAAUGCAUUCUUACAGCAAAUUCAGUCUAUGGGCAACUUUGUAUUGACCUUGUAUACAAUCCUAAAAGUUUAACUUGCAUCUGGUGGGACCACAGGAUUAUUGGGCGGCUUUGGCUCAGUGAAGAGCAGGGUUGUCCAAUCAGAGGAUCGGUGGUGCGAUCACUGGCUCCGCUUAUCAUGAUGUUGGGGUUUUCUUGGGCAAAGCACUUAACCCCACUGCUGUUAAUGCAUAUCCCAUCAACACAUCAAUUCCUCCAUGGUUAAAAUUACUUGCACUAUUCCAUCACCUCCUCAACAUUAGAGGCAGGAAACGCCUGCAAGCCACAAUGCAGUUCCUCUUGGCCUAAAAAGCACCAUCUGAAAAUUCACAAGCAUCCCCCUCAACGAAAUGAUGAGGAAAUAAAAAGCACCUCAACUUCCUCCAGUGGACUUUGUGCCUCUGUGACACAACUUCCUUCUUUAUACAUACACCACAUAUUAAACCGACUAUGAGACAAGGAACACACAUGGCUGAAAAAAUACACUAUGUAAAGGUGCAGGUGAUUGGCCACAGGAGGGGACAUUUGGGGACAAGGCAAUCCAUACACAGUAAGGGACUAAAACACAUUGGGUUUUAGGUGGGGACUUGUAAUCCUGCGAGGUCACAGGUGACCUUGUUGGCAUGAAGACUUGACCUGCGCAAGCGCAAGACAGAUGAUAAUCCAGGAUUCAUAGAACCGUAGUUACAUACGUAACUUUUGUUAUACUAUUGAUGUUUACCUGGUAGCACUGUAGCCAACCUUUGGUUUUCAGUACCAUGUCUCAAUAUAUCAGUGGACUCCUAUGAAAACCUUAGUCCGUCCACCAGAUUGAUCAUCUCGUCGAUAGUGUUACAGGCUCUUUGAGUGACUCUACUGUUCUUCUUGAAAGGAGAAUGGUACUACAAGUGUUCUCCUCUGUGUAACCCACAACUUAAGCAAACAGCCUGGAAACUCCUCGUGAGGUAACUUCUCAAACAUGUGUAAACCCUGGAAUAUUAAAUCACUCCCAAUUAUC
Molecule: non-coding RNA, 4553 nt
Organism: Gasterosteus aculeatus aculeatus (three-spined stickleback)
Lineage: Eukaryota; Metazoa; Chordata; Actinopteri; Perciformes; Gasterosteidae
Source: RefSeq, a predicted model, not a curated record